AUAAUAAUAAUAAUAAUAAUAAUAAUAAUAAUAAAAAAAAAAAAAAAAAGAAAAACCGUCGCUCGUGAACAACAAUUUAAUCGAUUUUUUUCUUUUUCUCGAAAAUAUCUUGGAUCUUACGAACAUCUACGUUUCUGAAAUUGUAUCGUCUUUUCUUUUAAUCUGUACUCUCCCUCUUUCCCCCACCACACCCCCCUUUCCCUCUCUCUCUCUCUCUCUCACUCUCUCUCUCUAUCUCUCUUUCUCUCUCUUACUCAUACAUCCGUAAAUGUUGCACAAUGAGAAAUGUGAGAUAACUACAAAAUACAUUUAAUUAUACCACUGUAUCGUCGUUGUUAGUUCUGUACGGCGUAUAUCUUAUUUUAAAGCUUACAAUACGGUCUUCGAAUAGAUAUCAUCGUUGAAGUGAAGGCACAAUUCCUACAGUAUAGUGCAGUACAGCUCGCACGCAGUCAGUCUAUCGGCGACCGUAGCGAGGAGAACACGUUAGCUUCUUUUAUUAGAUUUUUUCUCUCUUUUUUUUCUCUCUCUCUCUCUCUCUCUCUCUCCUCUCUCUCUCUCUCUCUCACUCUAUUUAUCUAUUUAUCUGUCCUUCUCUCUCUCCUUCUCUCCCUCUUUCUCUCUCUAAGGGAUAGAAAAUAUUGCUCGUGUCGAGAUUUAUACUUACAUAAACACACACACGCACAUAUGUACACAUAUAUACAUAGAUACACAUAUACAUAAACACAUAAACAUAUACACACACAUAUGUCAUACAACAAUUUACUUUCUUCAAUCGUACUCGUUCUUAUCAUCGUUUUUUUAUUCUCUGAUACGAGAAAGAAUUUGUAAACGACGGAAAAAAAAAAAAAACAAAUAUAUAAACGGCAAUACGAUCAUUGAUUUAUCGACGUUUAAGUGAGUAUUAAAUUGUUUCUCGAUCAUCUAUAAAAAUAUUAUUUUUCUGUUUACUUGUACGUCAGAGUGAAGAGUGGUAUAUUCGUGCGUGCGCGUGUGUUUUCCGUGUGUUUUUAUUUUUUGAUCAACCUUUCCCUACCCUCUUACCCCCUGCUCCUCCUUCCAUCCAAUUCCUCCCCCUACCCUCUCCCUUCCUUCUCUAUCAUCUCAAUCCACACUCUUCUCUCACUAACGCGCUGAUGUCAUUCGUAAACUAGUUCUUCUUUAUUAUAUCAAUCGCAACAAUCUACGUUUGAUUUGUACGUAAAAGGAUUCACUUUUGAUUAACAAUUGAUAGAAAUUUUGUCUUCUUCACAAUUAAUUUUAAUGAUUCCACGAAGAGCGUACAAAUUUUGCAAAAGGAAAAUUAAAAGAAAUUUUCUGCUUGAUCAACGAUAAUACGUAUAAGUAUUUGCCGAUCGUGUUAUAUUCGUAAUAGAAAAUGAAAAGGACAAAAAAAAAAGAAAGAAAGAAAGAAAGAAAGAAAGAAAGAAUUACGUGAGCUUGAUGCCUUUAUCGGAAGGUGUAGACGGGGUGGAGGGAAUGUAACAACUUUGCGAAAGAAUAAGAUUUAUUCGUUAGAAAGAAAGACAGAGAGAGAGAGAGAGAGAGAGAGAGAGAGAGAGAGAGAGAGAGAGAGAGAGAGAGAGAGAGAGAGAGAGAGAGAGAGAGAGAGAGAGAUAUUAUAUAAAUUAUUAUAUUUAUACCAUUUAUAUUGUUUAUAUUAAUCAUUGUUCUUUUAAAGAUCAGUUCAGUUCUUUCUUUUUUUUCUUUUCUUUUUUUUUUUGUUUCUUUUUUUUCUUUUCUUUUCUUUUCUUUUUUAAUCUAUUUCAUCACAUACAUUUGUCAUUAUUUUUCUCGAAAUUUAUCAUCUUCUGAUAUUUCUUCGUGAAACGAUAAACAAAAAAAACAACAUAAGGUAAAAGAUAUUAGAUGUUUAUUUAGACGUCUUCUUCCGUCACUGCUUGGAUGAAAUAAACGCCCAGUGAAAGUCAAUCGUUUCUUAGAGAGACCGACCAGUGUGUUAUAAUGCUGCCUGUUUGCAAACCGAGCGUCCCCAAUUUGUUAUUGAAAAAUUUGUAACUUUAAGUCUUUGCGUACGCGUAUGAAGAAGAAAAGGCAAACAAACAAACAAACAAACAAAACAAUAAAAAUGGAAACAAUAAAUAUCAAUCGGAAUUGCAUGAUCGGCGAACGUGGAAUAAAGAUUUGCGUGAUUAUGUAGGAGCAAGAAGAAGAAGAAGAAAAAAAAAAGGGGAAAAAAAGGGAGAAAAAGAAAAGGAAGAAAAAAAGCAAAAAAAAAAAAAAAAGAAGAAAGAAAAGAACUAUUGUAAUUAAUCGUAUAACCUUAUUAUACCAUAAAUACGCUUCUAAAGUCUCCUCUCUAAAAUAGAUUCAAUCGAAUGAAAAUUUUAGCUCGGAGAUCUGAAAUGGUCGAAUAAAUGAAACAGAGGAAAAAGAGGAGUAGAGGACAAAGGAGAGGGAAUUUUUUGAAUGAAAAAGAAGGGGACGAGGAUGAAGUGAAGGAGCAGGGAAGGAGAUAUGAAUUUUUAUGAACGAACAUGUUACAUCUUCAAUGACGUAAACAGAGAGAUGGGGAGAGAGAAACAGAGAGAGAGAGAGAGAGAGAGAGAGAGAGAGAAAGAGAGAGAGAAAACAUAAUAUAUUAUCAAUAUCUACGUUUUUCAUUUCUUUUCCUUCUCUUUUUCUUUGAUCCUUUUUUUCUUUCUUUCUUUCUUUUUUUUUUUUUUUUGAUUUUAUUUUUCUUUUAUUUUACAGAUGAACGAGAGAGAUAAA
Long non-coding RNA from Vespa crabro (European hornet), 2733 nucleotides. RefSeq lists it as uncharacterized. Lineage: Eukaryota; Metazoa; Arthropoda; Insecta; Hymenoptera; Vespidae. The transcript has 2 exons. The record is from RefSeq and is a predicted model, not a curated record.